This 423-nucleotide ribosomal RNA is filed under the name uncultured Gemmatimonas sp. RNAcentral describes it as "bacterial SSU rRNA". It matches the Rfam family "Bacterial small subunit ribosomal RNA", at positions 355 to 775 of the family's 1533-position model. The record is from RNAcentral. Lineage: Bacteria; Pseudomonadati; Gemmatimonadota; Gemmatimonadia; Gemmatimonadales; Gemmatimonadaceae.
UGGGGAAUAUUGCGCAAUGGACGAAAGUCUGACGCAGCGACGCCGCGUGUGGGAUGAAGCUUUUCGGAGUGUAAACCACUGUUGCCCGGGACGAAUCUCCUUUUUCGAAAGGAUUGACGGUACCGGGCGAGGAAGCACCGGCUAACUCUGUGCCAGCAGCCGCGGUAAUACAGAGGGUGCGAGCGUUGUCCGGAAUCACUGGGCGUAAAGGGCGCGUAGGUGGCAAGAUAAGCGUGUGGUGAAAGCCCGGGGCUCAACCCCGGGUCGUGCCGUGCGAACUGUCUUGCUCGAGCGUAGUAGAGGCAGGUGGAAUUUCGGGUGUAGCGGUGGAAUGCGUAGAGAUCCGAAAGAACACCGGUUGGCGAAGGCGGCCUGCUGGGCUACUGCUGACACUGAGGCGCGACAGCGUGGGGGAGCAAAACA